Molecule: long non-coding RNA, 385 nt
Organism: Syngnathus acus (greater pipefish)
Lineage: Eukaryota; Metazoa; Chordata; Actinopteri; Syngnathiformes; Syngnathidae
Exons: 2
Source: RefSeq, a predicted model, not a curated record
CUGGGGUGGGGGGCGUUAAAGCAGAGUUGUCCCCCUCAUAAAACAAAACAAAAACACGUUAAAAGGACGCCCGUAGAUGUCUCUGCACGAUGACUCUUGAGAGCGUCUUCAUGGCGCACGCCGCUCUCUCGCUCCGACGGCACUGACGUCAGCCGCGACACAACAAUGGGUUCAAAGGCCACAUACGGCGAUGGGGAGAAGAGGAUCCACGCAAAGCCACGGCUGCUGUCAUUGCCAUUGUGUCAGUCGCUCGGCUGGACCGCCAUCCCUUUAUUUAUUCGUUUAAAACCAAGCAAACGUUGUUGUUUGAUCAUUCAAAGCCAGCAUUCAGUUGUAUUGUAUCCUUGAGCAGUUAUUCAAUAUCAUUCAAAUCCAGUUUUAUGUA